CCCUACGGGACGCAGCAGUGAGGAAUAUUGGUCAAUGGACGAGAGUCUGAACCAGUCAAGCCACGUGAGGGAAGACGGCCCUAUGGGUUGUAAACCUCUUUUGUCGGAGAACAAAACCCGGGACGUGUCCCGGACUGCGUGUAUCCGAAGAAAAAGCAUCGGCUAACUCCGUGCCAGCAGCCGCGGUAAUACGGAGGAUGCGAGCGUUAUCCGGAUUUAUUGGGUUUAAAGGGUGCGUAGGCGGUCCGUUAAGUCAGCGGUAAAAUUGCGGGGCUCAACCCCGUCGAGCCGUUGAAACUGGCAGA
Molecule: ribosomal RNA, 305 nt
Filed under: uncultured bacterium
Lineage: Bacteria
Description: bacterial SSU rRNA
Rfam family: Bacterial small subunit ribosomal RNA
Source: RNAcentral